GACGAACGCUGGCGGCGUGCUUAACACAUGCAAGUCGAACGGAAAGGCCCUGCUUUUGUGGGGUGCUCGAGUGGCGAACGGGUGAGUAACACGUGAGUAACCUGCCCUUGACUUUGGGAUAACUUCAGGAAACUGGGGCUAAUACCGGAUAGGAGCUCCUGCUGCAUGGUGGGGGUUGGAAAGUUUCGGCGGUUGGGGAUGGACUCGCGGCUUAUCAGCUUGUUGGUGGGGUAGUGGCUUACCAAGGCUUUGACGGGUAGCCGGCCUGAGAGGGUGACCGGCCACAUUGGGACUGAGAUACGGCCCAGACUCCUACGGGAGGCAGCAGUGGGGAAUAUUGCACAAUGGGCGGAAGCCUGAUGCAGCAACGCCGCGUGCGGGAUGACGGCCUUCGGGUUGUAAACCGCUUUCGCCUGUGACGAAGCGUGAGUGACGGUAAUGGGUAAAGAAGCACCGGCUAACUACGUGCCAGCAGCCGCGGUGAUACGUAGGGUGCGAGCGUUGUCCGGAUUUAUUGGGCGUAAAGGGCUCGUAGGUGGUUGAUCGCGUCGGAAGUGUAAUCUCGGGGCUUAACCCUGAGCGUGCUUUCGAUACGGGUUGACUUGAGGAAGGUAGGGGAGAAUGGAAUUCCUGGUGGAGCGGUGGAAUGCGCAGAUAUCAGGAGGAACACCAGUGGCGAAGGCGGUUCUCUGGGCCUUUCCUGACGCUGAGGAGCGAAAGCGUGGGGAGCGAACAGGCUUAGAUACCCUGGUAGUCCACGCUGUAAACGGUGGGUACUAGGUGUGGGGUCCAUUCCACGGGUUCCGUGCCGUAGCUAACGCUUUAAGUACCCCGCCUGGGGAGUACGGCCGCAAGGCUAAAACUCAAAGGAAUUGACGGGGCCCCGCACAAGCGGCGGAGCAUGCGGAUUAAUUCGAUGCAACGCGUAGAACCUUACCUGGGUUUGACAUGGAUCGGGAGUGCUCAGAGAUGGGUGUGCCUCUUUUGGGGUCGGUUCACAGGUGGUGCAUGGCUGUCGUCAGCUCGUGUCGUGAGAUGUUGGGUUAAGUCCCGCAACGAGCGCAACCCUUGUUCACUGUUGCCAGCACGUUAUGGUGGGGACUCAGUGGAGACCGCCGGGGUCAACUCGGAGGAAGGUGGGGAUGACGUCAAGUCAUCAUGCCCCUUAUGUCCAGGGCUUCACGCAUGCUACAAUGGCUGGUACAGAGAGUGGCGAGCCUGUGAGGGUGAGCGAAUCUCGGAAAGCCGGUCUCAGUUCGGAUUGGGGUCUGCAACUCGACCUCAUGAAGUCCGAGUCGCUAGUAAUCGCAGAUCAGCAACGCUGCGGUGAAUACGUUCCCGGGGCU
RNAcentral lists this ribosomal RNA (1346 nucleotides) under uncultured bacterium. Its description in RNAcentral is "partial 16S ribosomal RNA". It matches the Rfam family "Bacterial small subunit ribosomal RNA", at positions 28 to 1381 of the family's 1533-position model. The record is from RNAcentral.